AUACGUAGGGGGCGAGCGUUGUCCGGAAUGAUUGGGCGUAAAGGGCGCGUAGGCGGCCCGGUAAGUCUGGAGUGAAAGUCCUGUUUUUAAGAUGGGAAUUGCUUUGGGUACUGUCGGGCUUGAGUGCAGGAGAGGCAAGUGGAAUUCCCAGUGUAGCGGUGAAAUGCGUAGAGAUUGGGAGGAACACCAGUGGCGAAGGCGACUUACUGGACUGUAACUGACGCUGAGGCGCGAAAGUGUGGGGAGCAAACAGGAUUAGAUACCCUGGUAGUCCACACUGUAAACGAUGAAUGCUAGGUGUAGGGGGUAUCGACCCCUUCUGUGCCGCAGUCAACACAAUAAGCAUUCCGCCUGGGGAGUACGGCCGCAAGGUUGAAACUCAAAUGAAUUGACGGGG
This 397-nucleotide ribosomal RNA is filed under the name uncultured bacterium. Its description in RNAcentral is "partial 16S ribosomal RNA". It matches the Rfam family "Bacterial small subunit ribosomal RNA", at positions 523 to 918 of the family's 1533-position model. The record is from RNAcentral.